This 463-nucleotide ribosomal RNA is filed under the name Vreelandella stevensii. RNAcentral describes it as "partial 16S ribosomal RNA". It matches the Rfam family "Bacterial small subunit ribosomal RNA", at positions 338 to 795 of the family's 1533-position model. Lineage: Bacteria; Pseudomonadati; Pseudomonadota; Gammaproteobacteria; Oceanospirillales; Halomonadaceae. The record is from RNAcentral.
CCUACGGGGGGCUGCAGUGGGGAAUAUUGGACAAUGGGGGCAACCCUGAUCCAGCCAUGCCGCGUGUGUGAAGAAGCCCCCGGGGUGGAAAGCACCUUCAGUGAGGGAGAACCGCUGGUGGGUAAUAACCAUCAGGAAAAGCCAUACCCAAAGAAGGAGGCCCCGCUAACUCCGUGCCAGCAGCCGCGGUAAUACGGGGGUGCGAGCGUUAAUCGGAAUUACUGGGCGUAAAGCGCGCGUAGGUGGCUUGAUAAGCCGGUUGUGAAAGCCCCGGGCUCAACCUGGGAACGGCAUCCGGAACUGUCAAGCUAGAGUGCAGGAGAGGAAGGUAGAAUUCCCGGUGUAGCGGUGAAAUGCGUAGAGAUCGGGAGGAAUACCAGUGGCGAAGGCGGCCUUCUGGACUGACACUGACACUGAGGUGCGAAAGCGUGGGUAGCAAACAGGAUUAGAUACCCUAGUAGUC